Anthonomus grandis grandis is the source of this 2099-nucleotide long non-coding RNA. RefSeq lists it as uncharacterized. NCBI's taxonomy places the organism in Eukaryota, Metazoa, Arthropoda, Insecta, Coleoptera, Curculionidae. The record is from RefSeq and is a predicted model, not a curated record. The transcript is spliced from 3 exons.
CACAUUACUAUCGCAUUGCUGUCCGUUCUGCGCCCCUUGGGACUCCACUUUCACCUCGACAUCACCACUUGAAUUCACCGUGGCCACUUGAGACUGAACCCCAUCUUUUUCUUUCAUCACGACAUCUGACUCGGUGUACUGAGAUGGUCCGAAGCUGCUUUCUUCCGGUUCAUCCCCGUCAACAAUAACAUCAUCCCCUUCGUUGUCGAUAGUGGUUGUAUUGUUAUUUCUACCACUUACAAGGGAGGAUGUUCGUCUUCGUUGACUUUCUUGCCAUUCUUCGAGUUCUGAGUCGCCUUCUACGUCUACGGUUUCAUCUUCCUCAUUCAUCUAGAACGUACUAACAUUAGCAUCAUACUCAAUAAAAUGGUGGAAAACUAGAAUUUCAAGAUUAUUCUGGCUAUAAUGGAGGAAACUAUAGAAAACCAGGAAAACGUAAUUAUAUCAUCAGUAUAAUUUCAGAUAUGACAAGCCGCCCUAGAGUUGAUUAAAUGUCAAAUUAAAAUGAUCCAAUCAGCACUAGAAACCGAAUAUAUCGCGAAGAUAUUUCGAGCAAUGAUGAAAGAUAGGAAUAAGCUACUGGCAACAUUUAAAAAAUAUAAAAACAUGGAGGAUUAUAAAAGGAAAAAAACGUAAUGAAACACAGGCCUAUUUUAAAUUACAAUUAAGCGCUACAAGGGAUAUUUAGUCAUCCCUAAAACUACCUAAUGUAUGUAAUAAACACUGAGACACAAGAAUUCCAGACAAUCUUGACAAUGAAGAGUCAAUAAUUAAUUAUUUAUUAACUCAAUGCCCAAAAUUAGCCCGAAAAAAAAUUCAUUACAGAACAAUUUUAGAUUAGAGAUUAUAGGUAAUAUAACGGGACGGCUUUAGAUGAAAUUAACAUUAAUAUAAUUAGGCGACACAUGUCUGCCUUUAUUGUUACCUUAUAUUACGCACGUAAGAAAUGAUUGUUUAACGCACUCCAUAUUUCCCUCAUUGUGGAAAAAAGCUAAAGUAAGGCCUUUUCUAAAAUCGUCCAACCCGCAAGUAUUAAGAUCGAUAAGUAUACUUCUAACUUAAUUAAAGAUUUUAAAGAAAGUUAUGGAAAUUCAAUUGCAAUUAUAUAUUAAAAAAAAUAUAUUUUACUAGAUACACCAUUAAGGUUCAGAGCAGGUCAUAGAUGCUGUACAGGAGCUUAUAAAAGUGAUGAUAUUUAGUCAGCUGUGGAUUAAAAUAAACGUACUUUACUAGUAAUAGUAGUAAUGACUGAUUAUAGUAAAGCCGUUGACGCUCUGAGUUAUGAUCUUUUAAUGAAAAAUAUUGUCGUUUGUGGAAAUUUGAAGGAUAUAUGUCAGAUUAAAUUCUACCAUAGAAAAAGCUGAAAUUUAUUUAAAAUUAUAUAACACUAUAAUUAGUAUCCAAUAAAUCAAUAUAUUCAGUUGCCAAUAAGAGACAAUUUAUUUUAUUUCUUCCAGGCACCAGUGAGAAAAAUGUCAAUAUCUUAAUAUUAAGUGUACGAAUUUUAGUAGCUUCUUCGAAAAGUGCUAAAAGAGCCAUUAGAGUAUCCCAGAAAUCAAUAAUUACAACAUUUUAGCCACUAGAAAUCAAGAUAUUUAGUUGCCUAUAAAAAACCAAUUAUUUUAUUUCUUCCAUUAAGCAUCCAGAUUUUUAGUGUAUGAAAUUCAAUAUACUUUUCAGUAGUUGCUUCGAGAGCCCUUGGAGUAUCCCAGAAAUCAAUAUUUACAACAUUUUAGCCACUAGAAAUCGAGAUAUUCAGUUGCCAAUAAGAGAAAAAUUAUUUUAAUUCUUCCAGGCACUCCAUAGUUGCUUCAAGAGUCCCUGAGUAUCCCAGAAAUCAAGAAUUACGACAUUUUAGCUACUAGAAGUCAAGAUAUUCAGUUGCCAAUAAGAGUGAAAUUAUUUUAUUUCUCCCAGGCACUCCAGUGAGAAAAAUGUCAAUAUUUUAACUUUUAGUCUAUGGAUUUUAGUAAUUUUUCCAAAAAGUGCUAAAAAUAAAGUUAGAGCUCAUACGAAGCCGACAGAGACAGACAUAUUGAAAUAGCUGCGACGUGAAAACAAAGAAUAAAAGUUAAUAAAGAAUAAAUUGUAUUUCCUAA